AUAAUGUAUAAGGGUUAAGGCACAAAGCAAAUGACCAGCUCUCCCGCUUGUGGCCGUCGCCCCAACGGUGGUCAGCAAGGUCACCGGCGCCUCAGCGAGGGCCGGUGACCCUCACCAAAAGCGGGAGACAGCGGCGAUGCUCUCUCAGAUCGGGCCUCCCCCAUAUCUGGGCGACGGUUGCCGCCCUUCGUCCCAGUUCGGGGGAGGGUCGCCGGCCGCCGCCGCCGCCGCCCGCCAGCAGCCCACCCGCUGGUAUUCUUUUUAGUUUCUAAUUUAAUUUAACUAAAAUUUUAUGUUAAAAUUGUUUCCCUCAGUCGGCGGUAGUUUGAACUGGCGGGGAUUUUUGGGCACGUCCCCCAAGCCGAGGCCAUUUCUCGUAGGGUUUCGCCAAGUCUGAAGUCUCUGUCCGAUCACCGGCCAUAGUCGGUCAUUAUCGAGUUCCUGUGUGCUUGAUUCCCUCCUCCUCUUUGGACGUGUCUCGUUUUGGCCGAUACGCCGGAUUUCGCCGCCAAGAUCGCUGCCUUCACCAGACAGAGACAAUGCGGUCGCGGCAGUCAGCUGAGGUGGAGACAAUGCCGCCAUCUCCAAAGCUUUUCUGGUGGCUAUCUUCUUCUGAUAAGAAAAGCGGGACCAGAAUGGACAGGAUCCAA
Molecule: long non-coding RNA, 650 nt
Organism: Syzygium oleosum
Lineage: Eukaryota; Viridiplantae; Streptophyta; Magnoliopsida; Myrtales; Myrtaceae
Exons: 2
Source: RefSeq, a predicted model, not a curated record